Molecule: ribosomal RNA, 527 nt
Filed under: uncultured Pseudomonadaceae bacterium
Lineage: Bacteria; Pseudomonadati; Pseudomonadota; Gammaproteobacteria; Pseudomonadales; Pseudomonadaceae
Description: bacterial SSU rRNA
Rfam family: Bacterial small subunit ribosomal RNA
Source: RNAcentral
GCAAGUCGAGCGGUAGAGAGGUGCUUGCUCCUCUUGAGAGCGGCGGACGGGUGAGUAAUACCUAGGAAUCUGCCUGGUAGUGGGGGAUAACGUUCGGAAACGGACGCUAAUACCGCAUACGUCCUACGGGAGAAAGCAGGGGACCUUCGGGCCUUGCGCUAUCAGAUGAGCCUAGGUCGGAUUAGCUAGUUGGUGAGGUAAUGGCUCACCAAGGCUACGAUCCGUAACUGGUCUGAGAGGAUGAUCAGUCACACUGGAACUGAGACACGGUCCAGACUCCUACGGGAGGCAGCAGUGGGGAAUAUUGGACAAUGGGCGAAAGCCUGAUCCAGCCAUGCCGCGUGUGUGAAGAAGGUCUUCGGAUUGUAAAGCACUUUAAGUUGGGAGGAAGGGCAGUAAAUUAAUACUUUGCUGUUUUGACGUUACCGACAGAAUAAGCACCGGCUAACUCUGUGCCAGCAGCCGCGGUAAUACAGAGGGUGCAAGCGUUAAUCGGAAUUACUGGGCGUAAAGCGCGCGUAGGUGGU